GAGUAAGUGGAUAAGCCACGGGCCAAGUUUGCAUUGUAGAAAGGAAAUGAUUCUACAUAUACUUAGCCACGGGAUGGAAAAAUAUGUUUCUUUCACAUAGACUUUGUGAAUAAAGCUUCCACUGUUCUGAGCAAAAAAUGCAGAAGGAAGCCUUGUUGUCUGGAUUAGGUCACUUAUAAAUACCUUUAAAAAUAUUUACAUAAAUGUCUACUGACUAACCAAUUCUCUGAGCACAUUCCAUAAAAAUUUCUUCUCCAUUGCUUUUAGAAAUUUGCUUUUUUUGGUCCAUUGUGUUGUAUAUGAAGUCUCUUGUUCAUGGUGCACAGUUAACUUAAAGAAGCCAAUCCAUCUAAAAGAACUGGGAAGGCUGGCUGGGGAAAUUAACGAGAGCCUCCUUUCUAAUUGUGGCUUUUUCCCCUGAGGUCCUGUUUCAACAUACAUUUUUUUUCUUUCCUAGCGUCAGUGACUUCAUUGCUUAAGUGACUCUUUUAGAUAAGUUCAUGUGUCUCUCAUGGGCUGCUCCAAUCAGCAAGGCAGUCUCACCCCAACUAGUGUCACAACACUCCCUUUGUGGUUCUGGACAUUAUACAGAGAGCAGCAAGCCACGAUAUUUCCGUAUCUUCGCUGGAAAAUGGCAUUUUUAAAUUGCUCUAAAUGCAUGCAUCAUUUUGUGCUUGCAGUUGGAGUAUAAUGGGAAUUAUCAGAGAAUUGCGUGUCUUUGCCAUAGACUUCAUCUGGUUCCCAUGAAGCAUCCAGGUUUCCUACUGGGGUGUUUAUCUCUCUCCCACUGAGAGCAGUCCUGAGGAACUGGGGUGAGGAAAAUUGUCUAGCUGUGAUUUCUUCAUGCAAACAGUGGAUGCAAGAACAAGCAAGCCAAGCUUGGAGCAACUCAUUGAGGAAAUACACCUCCCUGAUCUGCUGGAAGGUUCAGCAGGGUUCAAUUCAUCCUCCAGAGUGCUGUAAAAGUGUAAACUGCAUCCAGAACCAAGUCCCCAAACAAAAUGAUCAAUUUAUUUAAUUGAUCAUUUUGCUACAUGCUAAUAUAUAGAUCCCCAUACAAAGCUAUUAUUGAAUACUUUGCUUUCCUUUUCCUUUUUCUUAUUUUUUUAGAUCAUUUUGUUGCAGAUAUUUUUCCUUCUGGCUAUCAGAAAGGAAGGCAUGGGGUGUCUCAGAAUAUUCACAGCAGGAAACAUGCUUACAUUUAUAAAGUGAGCAAGUUGUUAUUGCUCCAGUCCCUGAUUGAAUGACUUCAGCUCUUCAUUUGGACUAAAAUUUUCCAGAUUACUUUUAGUUCCUGAUUCAAUUUUGUUAGAAAAGUACAAAAUUUAUAUAUCAGAGUUUCUCACCCCCGGGAGUCUAUGCAAUCUUCUUUCCUGGGGUGUGGCCAAAUCCUUUGCCUCAUUUUCUGCAUCCUUCCUGGGGCUACUGUCACUUUCUGAGGUGGACUUGGGACACAGAGCAUCAAAUGGUCUUGAAGAGCCACAGUUAACCUUCCAAACAGGCUAGCAAAAUUUGCAAAUCACCGUUGGCCAUUUUUUCUCUCCAUUGCAUGGCUGCAACUCAGGUGUUUGCUUCUCAGAAGGAGACAAAGGAGGUGCAGACAGAUGGUGCGUCACAGUAACUCAGGGAUAGAAACAGAUUUAGGAAGAACAAACUUCUUAACUUUUAACUUUUUAAGCUUCUUAACUUUUGCUUCUGUGUUUUGGUUUUCAUUUUUCACAAUAUUUGUUUUAUGGUUAUUCAUUUGAGGAACUAAGAGACAUACCAUUUUAUACUUUAAGUGUACUUUAUGUACAAAUAACUGGAAAAAAAUGGCCAAGCUUGUAAUAUUUUAUUUCUAGUUAGAUGCAUAAAUAUGCAGACAUUAAAAUAGAGGAGUUAGAGAUUAUUACAACAUCACUUUUGUUAUACAAACAUACCAAGGAAGAUUAGAAGUAGUUGUUUUGUUUAUUACUUUUUAAUCAACUGAUAAGCCUCAGUGGCAGCGGUUUUCAAAACACAGCAUUUUUCUCAUUUCUAUAAAAUGGAUGAGGACAAUAAGAGCUAUAUUAAAUACUUAUGCAUAACAGUUAAAUAAAAUAUUCAUGAUUUAAAAAUGCCUUUCAUAUUGGGUAUGUAUCUUUAACUUCUUCAGUAAGGGCUUAAUAUUUAUCUUGAAACACUUUGUAAGUUUCUGUCUCUUUUCUCUUCCUGUUGUGUACUUCCAUGUUUUAGGUCCCUGCAAAUAUCCCUCUGGGUUAGAAGUUGCUUCCAGAAUUCCUGGGGUGUCUGCCAGUUAACCCGUUUGAUGUCUGCAGAGCAUUGUUGGGAAGGCAUUUGGCAUUUUGAACUUGAGAUCCUUGGCUGGUAAAGAAGUCCUUAUUCGGUCUUGGAAGUAGGGUCUGGAGUAAGACAUCAGUUUCCCCUUUAGAACCCUCCCAUGAGUUGGGGUAAAGAAAGAGGGAAAAGAAAUAUUCUAUUCUGAACAGGUUUUUGCUAUCGGCCAGGAUUUAAUUACGGUACAAGGUGCGUGUAAAGAAACACCUUUAAUCAUGGAGUCCACUUUGAGGAAAGAUUUAUUGAUUUUAAGUCAAGUGUAGGUAAAAGUUUGUAUCCAUCCAAAUAAUGGUAUUAUAUGUCAAAUUUGCCAUAUAAAUAUUGGAUGUAAUGUGUGAUAUACAACAGUUGAUGCAGAAUUCCAUUACAAUAUAGUAUUAAUUCAUUUAUUUAUUCAACAAAUAUGUAUUGGGGAUAUCCUAUAAGCCAGAUACUGUGAUAGAUGAUGAAGAACUCGUAAGCAGACACAAUAGUCUACUUUUUCCAUUUCUAAUUUUAAAAAUUAUUUUACUUUUUGUAGGUACUUAUUGCAAGACUUUAUAAUACAGUGUACUUUAAUAAUACAAUGUUUCUGAAUGUGCAAUGUCAAGGGAAAGCAAGAUAGUACAUAUUUUAAAAAAUAUUUCUUAUGGUCGCUUCAAUGAA
Molecule: long non-coding RNA, 2961 nt
Organism: Callithrix jacchus (white-tufted-ear marmoset)
Lineage: Eukaryota; Metazoa; Chordata; Mammalia; Primates; Cebidae
Source: RefSeq, a predicted model, not a curated record